RNAcentral lists this ribosomal RNA (468 nucleotides) under uncultured bacterium. RNAcentral's name for it is "partial 16S ribosomal RNA". It matches the Rfam family "Bacterial small subunit ribosomal RNA", at positions 28 to 507 of the family's 1533-position model. The record is from RNAcentral.
GACGAACGCUGGCGGCGUGCUUAACACAUGCAAGUCGAACGAAAAGGCCCUGCUUUUGUGGGGUUGUCGAGUGGCGAGCGGGGGUGUAACACGUGUGGACACUGCCCCUGACUGUGGGAUAUCUUCAGGGAACUGCGGAUAUUACCGGGUAGGAUCUAUUGCUGCGUGUGGUGGGUUGGAGAGAUUCGGCUGUGGGGGAUGUACUAGCGGCAUAUCAGCUUGAUUGGGUGGUUGUUGCUUACCACGGCUUUGAAGGGUAGGCGGCCUGAGAGGGCGACCGGCCACAAUGGUCCUGCGAUACGGCCCAGACUCGUACGGGCCGCAGCAGUGGGGAAUCUUGCACAGUGGGCGGACGUCUGAUGCGGCAACGCCGCGUGCGGGAUGCCGUCCUUCGGGUUGUAAACCGCUUUCGCCUGAGCCGAAGAGUGAGUGACGGUACCGGGUAAAGAAGCACCGGCUAACUACGUG